Molecule: unclassified non-coding RNA, 425 nt
Filed under: soil metagenome
Description: partial contains 5.8S ribosomal RNA, internal transcribed spacer 2, and large subunit ribosomal RNA
Rfam family: 5.8S ribosomal RNA (bases 1-120)
Source: RNAcentral
GAUGAAGAACGUAGCGAAAUGCGAUAAGUAGUGUGAAUUGCAGAAUUCCGUGAAUCAUCGAAUCUUUGAACGCACAUUGCGCCUUCUGGUAUUCCGGAAGGCAUGCCUGUUCGAGAGUCAUUAACAACCGUUUCGAUCCCUUUCUUUCAGAAAUUACAAAGAGGAAAAGGGUUUGGUUAUGGUGGAGGAGGGAAAGGGAGCGUUUAGCCUGUAAAAAAAGAGGCUGUGUUCCGCCUCCCCCCCAAAAUUGUACAGGCGGUCGUGUGCGCCCACGCAUCGAGGUGUUGUAAAAGCUGCCACGGCACUUUUCACCUGUGCAGUGCGAGAUUGGCCAGCCGGUUUAAAAACCCCUCCAAACAAGCAAAGGUUGACCUCGGAUCAGGUAGGGAUACCCGCUGAACUUAAGCAUAUCAAUAAGCGGAGGA